GACGAACGCUGGCGGCGUGCUUAACACAUGCAAGUCGAACGGAAAGGCCCUGCUUUUGUGGGGUGCUCGAGUGGCGAACGGGUGAGUAACACGUGAGUAACCUGCCCUUGACUUUGGGAUAACUUCAGGAAACUGGGGCUAAUACCGGAUAGGAGCUCCUGCUGCAUGGUGGGGGUUGGAAAGUUUCGGCGGUUGGGGAUGGACUCGCGGCUUAUCAGCUUGUUGGUGGGGUAGUGGCUUACCAAGGCUUUGACGGGUAGCCGGCCUGAGAGGGUGACCGGCCACAUUGGGACUGAGAUACGGAGCAGACUGCUACGGGAGGCAGCAGGGGGGAAUAUUGCACAAUGGGCGGAAGCCUGAUGCAGCAACGCCGCGUGCGGGAUGACGGCCUUCGGGCUGUAAACCGCUUUCGCCUGUGACGAAGAGUGAGUGACGGUAAUGGGUAAAGAAGCACCGGCUAACUACGUG
RNAcentral lists this ribosomal RNA (468 nucleotides) under uncultured bacterium. RNAcentral's name for it is "partial 16S ribosomal RNA". It matches the Rfam family "Bacterial small subunit ribosomal RNA", at positions 28 to 507 of the family's 1533-position model. The record is from RNAcentral.